RNAcentral lists this ribosomal RNA (774 nucleotides) under uncultured Neocallimastigales. RNAcentral describes it as "partial large subunit ribosomal RNA". It matches the Rfam family "Eukaryotic large subunit ribosomal RNA", at positions 18 to 643 of the family's 3401-position model. Lineage: Eukaryota; Fungi; Neocallimastigomycota; Neocallimastigomycetes; Neocallimastigales. The record is from RNAcentral.
CAGACGAUGCGUCAUGCAUAUCAAUAAGCGGAGGAAAAGAAACUAACAAGGAUUCCCCUAGUAACGGCGAGUGAAGCGGGAAGAGCUCAAAUUUGAAAUCUUAAAGGGUUUCCCUUUACGAAUUGUAGUUUAAAGAAGUGUUUUCUGUUGAGGUUUUGGUAAAAGUUCUUUGGAAUAGGACAUCAUAGAGGGUGAGAAUCCCGUAUUUGACCUUUACUUUCAACUUUGUGAUACACUUUCAAAGAGUCGGAUUGUUUGGGAAUACAGUCCAAAAUGGGUGGUAAAUUUCAUCUAAAGCUAAAUAUUGGCGAGAGACCGAUAGCGAACAAGUACCGUGAGGGAAAGAUGAAAAGAACUUUGAAAAGAGAGUUAAACAGUACGUGAAAUUGUCAAAAGGGAAGCGUUUGACACCAGUGUUGUUUUUCUGAAAAUCAAUUAAAGAACUGUUUAUGCUAAGCUGUUUAGACUUUAUCAGCUAAUCUGUUUAGUUUUGAGCUUUUCUUUAAUGCACUUUUCAGUUAACAAGUCAACAUCAAUUUCUUUUGCUGUAAAAAAGCUUGAGGAAGGUGGCUUGAGAUUCGUCUUAAGUGUUUAUAGCCUCUUGCCUAUGCAGUCGGAGAGAUUGAGGUCUGCAGCGUAGAUCCUUCGGGGCUAAAUGCAUUUGUGCUAAGUUAUAGCAUUUUAUAGACAACUUGUUGACUAUGAUUUGUCUUGUAGCUUACUCGCUUAUGUUAUUUUACCUACGCUUAGGAUGUUGACACACGCGCGUGCUCG